This 552-nucleotide ribosomal RNA is filed under the name uncultured Alphaproteobacteria bacterium. Its description in RNAcentral is "bacterial SSU rRNA". It matches the Rfam family "Bacterial small subunit ribosomal RNA", at positions 346 to 916 of the family's 1533-position model. The record is from RNAcentral. Lineage: Bacteria; Pseudomonadati; Pseudomonadota; Alphaproteobacteria.
AGGCAGCAGUGGGGAAUCUUGCGCAAUGGGCGAAAGCCUGACGCAGCCAUGCCGCGUGAAUGAUGAAGGUCUUAGGAUUGUAAAAUUCUUUCACCGGGGACGAUAAUGACGGUACCCGGAGAAGAAGCCCCGGCUAACUUCGUGCCAGCAGCCGCGGUAAUACGAAGGGGGCUAGCGUUGCUCGGAAUUACUGGGCGUAAAGGGAGCGUAGGCGGACAUUUAAGUCAGGGGUGAAAUCCCGGGGCUCAACCUCGGAAUUGCCUUUGAUACUGGGUGUCUUGAGUAUGAGAGAGGUAUGUGGAACUCCGAGUGUAGAGGUGAAAUUCGUAGAUAUUCGGAAGAACACCAGUGGCGAAGGCGACAUACUGGCUCAUUACUGACGCUGAGGCUCGAAAGCGUGGGGAGCAAACAGGAUUAGAUACCCUGGUAGUCCACGCCGUAAACGAUGAUUGCUAGUUGUCGAGAUGCAUGCAUUUCGGUGACGCAGCUAACGCAUUAAGCAAUCCGCCUGGGGAGUACGGUCGCAAGAUUAAAACUCAAAUGAAUUGACGG